GAGCGCAGCGCUUCGCUUCGCUUCGCUCAGUGUCCGCCAUGGCCCGCACGCCUCUCCUCCUCCUCCACCUCCUCCUGGCGCUCUGCACAGGUUUCGUGAGGUCUGCGCCCACUCAGCAGCCCUCGGCGUCUGUAGCCCUGGGCCAGACGGCCACACUCACCUGCUCCGGGGUUAGCAGUAGCUAUGCUACUGCCUGGUACCAGCAGAAACCCGGCCGGGCCCCUGUGCUGGUUAUAUACCAGAAUGACAAGCGACCCUCCGGGAUCCCCGACCGGUUCUCCGGCUCCAAGUCCGGGAGCACAGCCACGCUGAAAAUCGCCGGGGCCCAGGCCGAGGACGAGGCCGAUUAUUACUGUCAGGACUAUGAUAGCAGUUAUGGUACUCACAGUGACACAGGUUUCGUGAGGUCUGUGCCCACUCAGCCGCCCUCCGCGUCUGUGGCCCUGGGACAGACGGCCACACUCACCUGCUCCGGUGGUAGCUAUGUCAACUGGUAUCAGCAGAAACCCGGCCGGGCCCCGGUGCUGGUUAUAUACGAAAAUAAGAAGCGACCCUCCGGGAUCCCUGACCGGUUCUCCGGUUCCAAGUCCGGGAGCACGGCCACGCUGACCAUCGCCAGGGCCCAGGCCGAGGAUGAGGCCAAUUAUUACUGUCAGGAGGAUAGUAGUGCUCCUCACAGUGACACAGGGUGA
Non-coding RNA from Ornithorhynchus anatinus (platypus), 692 nucleotides. NCBI's taxonomy places the organism in Eukaryota, Metazoa, Chordata, Mammalia, Monotremata, Ornithorhynchidae. The record is from the annotation of a RefSeq genome assembly.